This 700-nucleotide ribosomal RNA is filed under the name uncultured cyanobacterium. RNAcentral's name for it is "bacterial SSU rRNA". It matches the Rfam family "Bacterial small subunit ribosomal RNA", at positions 56 to 799 of the family's 1533-position model. The record is from RNAcentral. Lineage: Bacteria; Bacillati; Cyanobacteriota.
UGCAAGUCGUACGAGGGCUUUUAGCCCUAGUGGCGGACGGGUGAGUAACACGUGAGAAUCUGCCCUUAGGAGGAGGAUAACAGCUGGAAACGGUUGCUAAUACUCCAUAUGCCGAGAGGUGAAAGGAAUUUCUGCCUAAGGAGGAGCUCGCGUCUGAUUAGCUAGUUGGUAGGGUAAAGGCCUACCAAGGCGACGAUCAGUAGCUGGUUUGAGAGGAUGAUCAGCCACACUGGGACUGAGACACGGCCCAGACUCCUACGGGAGGCAGCAGUAGGGAAUUUUCCGCAAUGGGCGAAAGCCUGACGGAGCAAUACCGCGUGAGGGAUGACGGCCUGUGGGUUGUAAACCUCUUUUCUCAAGGAAGAAGUUCUGACGGUACUUGAGGAAUAAGCAUCGGCUAACUCUGUGCCAGCGGCCGCGGUAAUACAGAGGAUGCAAGCGUUAUCCGGAAUCACUGGGCAUAAAGCGUCUGUAGGUGGUUUGGUAAGUCUGCUGUUAAAGACUGGGGCUCAACCCCAGAAAAGCAGUGGAAACUGCCAGACUUGAGUGUGGUAGAGGUAAAGGGAAUUCCUAGUGUAGCGGUGAAAUGCGUAGAUAUUAGGAAGAACACCAAUGGCGAAGGCACUUUACUGGGCCAUAACUGACACUGAGAGACGACAGCUAGGGGAGCAAAUGGGAUUAGAUACCCCAGUAGUCCUAG